UAGGGAAUCUUCGGCAAUGGGGGGAACCCUGACCGAGCAACGCCGCGUGAGUGAAGAAGGUUUUCGGAUCGUAAAGCUCUGUUGUUAAGGAAGAACGAGUGAGAGAAUGGAAAGUUCAUACUGUGACGGUACUUAACCAGAAAGGGACGGCUAACUACGUGCCAGCAGCCGCGGUAAUACGUAGGUCCCGAGCGUUGUCCGGAUUUAUUGGGCGUAAAGCGAGCGCAGGCGGUUAGAUAAGUCUGAAGUUAAAGGCAGUGGCUCAACCAUUGUAGGCUUUGGAAACUGUUUAACUUGAGUGCAGAAGGGGAGAGUGGAAUUCCAUGUGUAGCGGUGAAAUGCGUAGAUAUAUGGAGGAACACCGGUGGCGAAAGCGGCUCUCUGGUCUGUAACUGACGCUGAGGCUCGAAAGCGUGGGGAGCGAACAGG
RNAcentral lists this ribosomal RNA (429 nucleotides) under Bacteroidota bacterium. RNAcentral describes it as "Bacteroidetes bacterium partial 16S ribosomal RNA". It matches the Rfam family "Bacterial small subunit ribosomal RNA", at positions 355 to 776 of the family's 1533-position model. The record is from RNAcentral. Lineage: Bacteria; Pseudomonadati; Bacteroidota.